Molecule: long non-coding RNA, 552 nt
Organism: Perognathus longimembris pacificus (Pacific pocket mouse)
Lineage: Eukaryota; Metazoa; Chordata; Mammalia; Rodentia; Heteromyidae
Exons: 3
Source: RefSeq, a predicted model, not a curated record
CCCAGCGAAGCUAAGCACUCAGACAUAGGCCCGCAGAGACGAGCUAGGAAAGUACCAAACCCGGCUGGAACCCAGAUUUUAGGACCCCCCCACAUCCGGCGACGGCUACGGUUUUGUGUGAAGAAGCAGCGCUACAACGCGGAUGAGAAAUUAGCACAAGGACAUCCGGUUACUGAUGUCAUCAAGGUGACUUCAUCUCCAUGCACAUUUUAAAAGAUAAACAUCAGAGGUGGCAAACUUGGUAGAAAAAAAAGGUCCAGAUGAAUUACACAGUGCAGAAGGAGUUGAUAGCCUCCACCUCCUCAGAUCUACAAUCAGAAUGAUGAGGGUCAGGACUCAGUGGUUCAGAAGAAAAGGAAGUCAUUACAAAUAAUGUACCUGGGCAAAGACAGGAAAAAUGACAUCCAAGAUGACUAGAGGCCACAUGGCCACCACAACACUCACCUUCUGAUUGGCAGGUUGUUGGAUGUCCUACCAAAGAUAAAUUCUAGAGAUUCUUAAUUGCAAGCAUAAUUUCAGAAGAAUAUUAAAAAUAACUUGCUCUGUGGAUAU